RNAcentral lists this ribosomal RNA (571 nucleotides) under uncultured bacterium. RNAcentral's name for it is "partial 16S ribosomal RNA". It matches the Rfam family "Bacterial small subunit ribosomal RNA", at positions 355 to 919 of the family's 1533-position model. The record is from RNAcentral.
UGGGGAAUUUUGGACAAUGGGCGCAAGCCUGAUCCAGCCAUGCCGCGUGCGGGAAGAAGGCCUUCGGGUUGUAAACCGCUUUUGUCAGGGAAGAAAUCUUCUGAGUUAAUACCUCGGGAGGAUGACGGUACCUGAAGAAUAAGCACCGGCUAACUACGUGCCAGCAGCCGCGGUAAUACGUAGGGUGCAAGCGUUAAUCGGAAUUGCUGGGCGUAAAGCGUGCGCGGGCGGUUUUGUAAGACAGAGGUGAAAUCCCCGGGCUCAACCUGGGAACUGCCUUUGUGACUGCAAGGCUUGAGUGCGGCAGAGGGGGAUGGAAUUCCGCGUGUAGCAGUGAAAUGCGUAGAUAUGCGGAGGAACACCGAUGGCGAAGGCAAUCCCCUGGGCCUGCACUGACGCUCAUGCACGAAAGCGUGGGGAGCAAACAGGAUUAGAUACCCUGGUAGUCCACGCCCUAAACGACGUCAACUGGUUGUUGGGAAGGUUCCUUCUCAGUAACGUAGCUAACGCGUGAAGUUGACCGCCUGGGGAGUACGGCCGCAAGGUUGAAACUCAAAUGAAUUGACGGGGU